GGGGCAACCCUGACCGAGCAACGCCGCGUGAGUGAAGAAGGUUUUCGGAUCGUAAAGCUCUGUUGUAAGUCAAGAACGAGUGUGAGAGUGGAAAGUUCACACUGUGACGGUAGCUUACCAGAAAGGGACGGCUAACUACGUGCCAGCAGCCGCGGUAAUACGUAGGUCCCGAGCGUUGUCCGGAUUUAUUGGGCGUAAAGCGAGCGCAGGCGGUUUGAUAAGUCUGAAGUUAGAGGCUGUGGCUCAACCAUAGUUCGCUUUGGAAACUGUCAAACUUGAGUGCAGAAGGGGAGAGUGGAAUUCCAUGUGUAGCGGUGAAAUGCGUAGAUAUAUGGAGGAACACCGGUGGCGAGAGCGGCUCUCUGGUCUGUAACUGACGCUGAGGCUCGAAAGCGUGGGGAGCGAACAGGAUUAGAUACCCUGGUAGUCCACGCCGUAAACGAUGAGUGCUAGGUGUUGGAUCCUUUCCGGGAUUCAGUGCCGCAGCUAACGCAUUAAGCACUCCGCCUGGGGAGUACGACCGCAAGGUUGAAACUCAAAGGAAUUGACGGGGGCCCGCACAAGCGGUGGAGCAUGUGGUUUAAUUCGAAGCAACGCGAAGAACC
This 605-nucleotide ribosomal RNA is filed under the name Streptococcus salivarius. Its description in RNAcentral is "bacterial SSU rRNA". It matches the Rfam family "Bacterial small subunit ribosomal RNA", at positions 374 to 970 of the family's 1533-position model. The record is from RNAcentral. Lineage: Bacteria; Bacillati; Bacillota; Bacilli; Lactobacillales; Streptococcaceae.